RNAcentral lists this ribosomal RNA (904 nucleotides) under uncultured bacterium. Its description in RNAcentral is "bacterial SSU rRNA". It matches the Rfam family "Bacterial small subunit ribosomal RNA", at positions 27 to 905 of the family's 1533-position model. The record is from RNAcentral.
GAACGAACGCUGGCGGCGUGCCUAACACAUGCAAGUCGUACGAGAAAGCCCGGGCAACUGGGUGAGUAAAGUGGCGCACGGGUGAGUAACGCGUGGGUAACCUACCCUUGAGUUGGGGAUAACUCCGCGAAAGCGGGGCUAAUACCGAAUGAUGUUCCAGCGCCUUUGGGCGUUGGAUUCAAAGGUGGCCUCUGCAUGCAAGCUAUCGCUUAAGGAUGGGCCCGCGUACCAUUAGCUAGUUGGUAGGGUAACGGCCUACCAAGGCAACGAUGGUUAGCUGGUCUGAGAGGAUGGCCAGCCACACUGGAACUGAGACACGGUCCAGACUCCUACGGGAGGCAGCAGUGGGGAAUCUUGCGCAAUGGGGGAAACCCUGACGCAGCAACGCCGCGUGGGUGAUGAAGGCCUUCGGGUCGUAAAGCCCUGUCAGGUGGGAAGAAACUUGUUGAUGCCAAUACCAUCAGCACUUGACGGUACCACCGGAGGAAGCACCGGCUAACUCCGUGCCAGCAGCCGCGGUAAUACGGAGGGUGCAAGCGUUGUUCGGAAUUAUUGGGCGUAAAGCGCGUGUAGGCGGUUAUGUAAGUCAGAUGUGAAAUCCUUCCGCUUAACGGGAGAAGUGCAUUUGAAACUACAUGACUGGAGUACGGGAGAGGAGAGUGGAAUUCCCGGUGUAGAGGUGAAAUUCGUAGAUAUCGGGAGGAACACCAGUGGCGAAGGCGGCUCUCUGGCCUGAUACUGACGCUGAGACGCGAAAGCGUGGGGAGCAAACAGGAUUAGAUACCCUGGUAGUCCACGCCGUAAACGAUGGGCACUAGGUGUAGGAGGUAUUGACCCCUUCUGUGCCGAAGCUAACGCAUUAAGUGCCCCGCCUGGGGAGUACGGCCGCAGGUUAAAACUCAAA